GCAAUGACCACCACCCUUAAAAACUUUUGGAAAAAUAAAAUUGUUAAUGAAGCAAGGUUGAAAUGUUUUUAAUACUGGCUCUGAUGUAGAAAAUUUUAAACAAGUUGAAGUUGAGAAAGGCACACUCAUAUUAGUAAAGCCUUUUGUAAAGGGACACUUUAUGGUCAGGGAACAAGAACAAUGGCAGCGCUGGCUGAUGCGACUCUCACUGAGGCUGGACUGGUGAUAAUUGAUUUCUUAUACUCAUUUUUCCCCCUCAGCUUCCUGUUACGAUUUAUGACGAAUUGCUGAUGAGUAGAUAUGCAUUUUGAGGACUUAAGGGACUCCAGCACUGCCACAAUGCCAAGCCUCAGCUGCUCUCCAUGACCCCGUCAUGCCUUCAAAACCACUACCACCUCACUGACUCUUGCACUAUCAAGUUUGGUGACAAUGCAAGGCAUCUUGAUUCGCUGAAGAAUGACACCCUGGACUUAAAUAGUAUGUAAACACAAGGAGUGUUUUAUUCUGCAGAAGACAAGAAUGCUGGAAUGUCCCAUUACCAAACUAGAGAGACUCCCCAAGUGAGCUUGCAGGCCUUAUGUAAAGCACAUUAGGGAAUUCCGUGAUAAGUCAACCUCUAUGUUAAUCUGUUGGGUCCAUUUCUGUGGACAUUCCAUUACCAGGUUGUGGGGGCUGGAAACUUGCUGGGGAGGUCUGGAAACUGUUGCUGAGGAAGUCUGGAAACUGCUGCUGACCC
Molecule: long non-coding RNA, 736 nt
Organism: Mus musculus (house mouse)
Lineage: Eukaryota; Metazoa; Chordata; Mammalia; Rodentia; Muridae
Product: RIKEN cDNA 1700121C08 gene
Exons: 3
Source: RefSeq, a predicted model, not a curated record